This is a long non-coding RNA of Solanum dulcamara, 1004 nucleotides long. RefSeq lists it as uncharacterized. The transcript is spliced from 5 exons. The record is from RefSeq and is a predicted model, not a curated record. Lineage: Eukaryota; Viridiplantae; Streptophyta; Magnoliopsida; Solanales; Solanaceae.
AUUAAGUGACCCUCAUUUAACAUAUCAACACUUGGUAAGUGGGUCGUUAUUAUUUUCCUAUUAAAGUCUAGGUGAAGUAAAUAACAAAAGGGAGAGAAAAGAAAGGCACUCUCCCUUGGGAAAUCUUUCCAGCAAAGGAAAAUAACCAUCAAGUACUUUCUGCCUCACUUCUUCAGAGGAUUCACGUGAGGAGAACUCAAAAGUUGAUCAAUAAUUCUCAGGAAUAACGGGCGUACAGUGGCCAUAUCUCAUAGACAACUAUCCAUCAUUAUUCAAGAAUUUUGGAAAUUUAUCAAGAGUUCAAGUUGAAAUUUGAUUUCAAUUAGUAAAUUUGUUGCCUAUUGGAUGAUAAAAGGUAAUAGUGGGCUAUGUAAAGGCUACACCCUCGCAGGUCGAGUUGUUGGAGACAUGUGGUACUACCAUUAACUAGGAAGGUACCAAAGUACCGGGUUUACAGGCUAGCAGGCUUCCAUGUUAGGAACCCACUACAUAUUCAACAAGCAGUUGGAUCCGACGAUCACAUUCAUCCUCCACCCACUUGUGGCUAGUGCUUGUUAUUGUCUUGUGUUGGAAAAUUACGUCAUGCGCGAGAUUGGGCUAUAUUGUUGAGUGUUUGCUGAAAAUUCACUGAAGUUGGUGUCCACGAGUGCCACCACGGGCCGUAAAUCCUUAUACGACCCAUGAAAGCUGGCCGUUAAAAAGAGAUGUUGAAAAAAGGAGCAAAAAAAAUUUAGCCAAGUAAAACUCCACGAGACCCUUGACGGGGUAUAGAGUUCAUCAUGGAUCACGGUAGGGGGUCGUGAAGAGCAUGAUGAAGACUGCCUGUAAAGUUCAAGUAAAAUCCCAUAAACCCCACCACGGAUCGUGAAGAUUUCCCGUGAAGAAGAAGAGGACCACAUAGUUGUGGAGCCAAGUCAAUUACCACGGAGAACUUUCAUGGGAUGUGAACAACACUACGAGCCAUGAAGAGUGUAUAUGAACCAGUGUUGACUUAAGUUUUUCUA